ACAGUGCCUGGUGGGUAGUUUGACUGGGGCGGUCUCCUCCCAAAGAGUAACGGAGGAGCACGAAGGUGGGCUAAUCACGGUUGGACAUCGUGAGGUUAGUGCAAUGGCAUAAGCCCGCUUGACUGCGAGAAUGACAAUUCGAGCAGGUGCGAAAGCAGGUCAUAGUGAUCCGGUGGUUCUGAAUGGAAGGGCCAUCGCUCAACGGAUAAAAGGUACUCCGGGGAUAACAGGCUGAUACCGCCCAAGAGUUCAUAUCGACGGCGGUGUUUGGCACCUCGAUGUCGGCUCAUCACAUCCUGGGGCUGAAGUCGGUCCCAAGGGUAUGGCUGUUCGCCAUUUAAAGUGGUACGCGAGCUGGGUUUAGAACGUCGUGAGACAGUUCGGUCCCUAUCUGCCGUGGGCGUUGGAAGAUUGAAGGGGGCUGCUCCUAGUACGAGAGGACCGGAGUGGACGAACCUCUGGUGUUCGGGUUGUGUCGCCAGACGCAUUGCCCGGUAGCUAAGUUCGGAAUCGAUAACCGCUGAAAGCAUCUAAGCGGGAAGCGAGCCCUGAGAUGAGUCUUCCCUGAUACUUUAAGUAUCCUAAAGGGUUGUCGGAGACUACGACGUUGAUAGGUCAGGUGUGUAAGUGCUGUGAGGCAUUGAGCUAACUGAUACUAAUUGCCCGUGAGGCUUAACCAUACAACACCCA
RNAcentral lists this ribosomal RNA (690 nucleotides) under Vibrio parahaemolyticus. RNAcentral's name for it is "partial 23S ribosomal RNA". It matches the Rfam family "Bacterial large subunit ribosomal RNA", at positions 2251 to 2925 of the family's 2925-position model. The record is from RNAcentral. Lineage: Bacteria; Pseudomonadati; Pseudomonadota; Gammaproteobacteria; Vibrionales; Vibrionaceae.